Molecule: ribosomal RNA, 374 nt
Filed under: uncultured bacterium
Lineage: Bacteria
Description: bacterial SSU rRNA
Rfam family: Bacterial small subunit ribosomal RNA
Source: RNAcentral
GACGAAGGGGGCAAGCGUUGUUCGGAAUUACUGGGCGUAAAGCGAGUGUAGGUGGCUUUGCAAGUCAGGCGUGAAAGCCUUGGGCUCAACCCAAGAAAUGCGCUUGAUACUGUGGGGCUAGAGGACCGGAGAGGAUAGUGGAAUUCCCAGUGUAGUGGUGAAAUACGUAGAGAUUGGGAAGAACACCAGUGGCGAAGGCGGCUAUCUGGACGGUUUCUGACACUAAGACUCGAAAGCGUGGGGAGCAAACAGGAUUAGAUACCCUGGUAGUCCACGCCGUAAACGAUGGGUGCUAGACGUUGGCGAGCUUGCUCGUCGGUGUCGCAGCUAACGCGUUAAGCACCCCGCCUGGGGAGUACGGCCGCAAGGUUGAA